UAGAUUUCAUGUGAGAGAAGAGGGAAGCAAAAUUCACUGCCAAAGAAAUAAUCCAAAAAUCAUCCCUCAAAAUUCAUUAAAAAACGACACCCAUUUGAGUUCGGUGUCUACGCGACGCCUCGGACGCACCCUCCUCCUCUCUCUUUCACACAACACAACAACACAACACAACACAACAGUACAGAGAGAGAGAGAGAAAGAGUUGUAGAGAGAGAGAGAAAGAGUUGUAGAGAGUGAGAGUGUGGAAAGCAGAUGAAGAAGUUGGAUAGAUGGGGUUACGAGGUGAACACCUCCUCCGAUGCUUGCAUUUCUGCAAUCAAUUCCUACUAUCACCAGGUACUGACCUAUGGAAGAGACCGAUCCGUAAUUCUACAAGCUCCGGUCCACGAUCCACACUGUGUUUUAGCAAACAUAUUCGCUGCUUAUUUCCUCUCCUCUUCCAAUCCUUCUCGUGCUCCUUCUCAUCUCCAAGCUGCCAAAGCUCGACUCGUAACACUCUCUUUCAUUCUGUGUUUAUUUAUUUAUUUUUUUAAAUUACGUUUCCAUUUCUUGAACAACAACUAUUCCUCUCCUCUUCCAAUCCCUCUGGUGCUCCGUUUCUUGAUAUU
Non-coding RNA from Camellia sinensis, 608 nucleotides. The record is from RefSeq and is a predicted model, not a curated record. Lineage: Eukaryota; Viridiplantae; Streptophyta; Magnoliopsida; Ericales; Theaceae.